CCCCGGCUUGGGUAGCUCGGAGGCAUACCCCACCAGCUGGGGACUGGUCAGCAACAUGGUUUUAUCGCGUUCGUGCCGCUCGACCGAGGU
Molecule: transfer RNA, 90 nt
Filed under: Mycobacterium botniense
Lineage: Bacteria; Bacillati; Actinomycetota; Actinomycetes; Mycobacteriales; Mycobacteriaceae
Description: tRNA-Pro
Source: RNAcentral